Molecule: ribosomal RNA, 474 nt
Filed under: uncultured bacterium
Lineage: Bacteria
Description: bacterial SSU rRNA
Rfam family: Bacterial small subunit ribosomal RNA
Source: RNAcentral
UCCGUGGCUCAGGACAACGCUGGCGGCGUGCUUAACACAUGCAAGUCGAGCGAUGAAACACCUUCGGGUGUGAAUUAGCGGCGAACGGGUGAGGAACACGUGAAGAAUCUGCCUUCAACUCUGGGAUAACUCCGGGAAACCGGGGCUAAUACCGGAUAUGAGCCUUGAUCGCAUGAUCGGGGCUGGAAAGUUUUUCGGUUGAAGAUGACUUCGCGGCCUAUCAGCUUGUUGGUGAGGUAAUGGCUCACCAAGGCGACGACGGGUAGCCGGCCUGAGAGGGCGACCGGCCACACUGGGACUGAGACACGGCCCAGACUCCUACGGGAGGCAGCAGUGGGGAAUAUUGGGCAAUGGAGGAAACUCUGACCCAGCGACGCCGCGUGAGGGAUGAAGGCCUUCGGGUUGUAAACCUCUUUCAGUAGGGAAGAAGCGAAAGUGACGGUACCUACAGAAGAAGCACCGGCUAACUAUGUG